CAUGAUAGGUAAAAGGGCGAGAUGAUGACAUUACAUUUUUACCAACGGGUUAGAUCUGACUAAAGAAUAAAAAAGGGUCAAAACAAGAAAUUUUCCCCUCCUCCCUCCGUGCAAAUUCCCACAGCCGAAGGCACUGCUCACGCAUAGCUGCAGCGCUGACACUUCAUGCUGCACAUCCAUCCAUCCAUGCAUUAUUCCAUCAGGCAUCAGCUACCUAGCAGAACAGUUCAAAACAGUACCAACAAAAACGCACAGAGACAGCCUACAGGAAAACAGUGCGCACAGUAUAACGUUGUAGACACUUGGCUCCAGUAUUUGUAUUUUACAGAUAGUGUAGCAC
This 340-nucleotide long non-coding RNA is filed under the name Hordeum vulgare. RNAcentral describes it as "long non-coding RNA (HVUL_LNC019754)". Lineage: Eukaryota; Viridiplantae; Streptophyta; Magnoliopsida; Poales; Poaceae. The record is from RNAcentral.